GAUGAACGCUGGCGGCGUGCCUAAUACAUGCAAGUCGAGCGAACGGACGAGAAGCUUGCUUCUCUGAUGUUAGCGGCGGACGGGUGAGUAACACGUGGAUAACCUACCUAUAAGACUGGGAUAACUUCGGGAAACCGGCGCUAAUACCGGAUAAUAUUUUCAACCGCAUGGUUCAAAAGUGAAAGACGGUCUUGCUGUCACUUAUAGAUGGACCCGCGCUGCAUUAGCUAGUUGGUAAGGUAACGGCUUACCAAGGCAACGAUGCAUAGCCGACCUGAAAGGGUGAUCGGCCACACUGGAACUGAGACACGGUCCAGACUCCUACGGGAGGCAGCAGUAGGGAAUCGUCCGCAAUGGGCGAAAGCCUGACGGAGCAACGCCGCGUGAGUGAUGAAGGUCUUCGGAUCGUAAAACUCUGUUAUUAGGGAAGAACAUAUGUGUAAGUAACUGUGCACAUCUUGACGGUACCUAAUCAGAAAGCCACGGCUAACUACGUG
Molecule: ribosomal RNA, 497 nt
Filed under: uncultured bacterium
Lineage: Bacteria
Description: partial 16S ribosomal RNA
Rfam family: Bacterial small subunit ribosomal RNA
Source: RNAcentral